GUCGACGACUGGGCGGGGUUGCGCGUCGAGGCCGACAAGGCCGGCCUUGGUGACGAACUCGUGGUGCAAACCCCAUACGGCGAUUC
This 86-nucleotide transfer RNA is filed under the name Mycolicibacterium cyprinidarum. RNAcentral's name for it is "tRNA-Leu". The record is from RNAcentral. Lineage: Bacteria; Bacillati; Actinomycetota; Actinomycetes; Mycobacteriales; Mycobacteriaceae.